RNAcentral lists this ribosomal RNA (453 nucleotides) under uncultured bacterium. RNAcentral's name for it is "bacterial SSU rRNA". It matches the Rfam family "Bacterial small subunit ribosomal RNA", at positions 29 to 524 of the family's 1533-position model. The record is from RNAcentral.
AACGAACGCUGGCGGCAUGCCUAACACAUGCAAGUCGAACGAAGUCUUCGGACUUAGUGGCGCACGGGUGCGUAACGCGUGGGAAUCUGCCCUUGGGUGCGGAAUAACUUCUCGAAAGGGAUGCUAAUACCGCAUAAUGUCGUAAGACCAAAGAUUUAUCGCCCAAGGAUGAGCCCGCGUAAGAUUAGCUAGUUGGUGGGGUAAAAGCCUACCAAGGCGACGAUCUUUAGCUGGUCUGAGAGGAUGAUCAGCCACACUGGGACUGAGACACGGCCCAGACUCCUACGGGAGGCGGCAGUGGGGGAAUAUUGGACAAUGGGGCGAAAGCCUGAUCCAGCAAUGCCGCGUGAGUGAUGAAGGCCCUAGGGUUGUAAAGCUCUUUUACCAGGGAUGAUAAUGACAGUACCUGGAGAAUAAAGCUCCGGCUAACUCCGUGCCAGCAGCCGCGGUAAU